RNAcentral lists this ribosomal RNA (242 nucleotides) under uncultured bacterium. RNAcentral's name for it is "partial 16S ribosomal RNA". It matches the Rfam family "Bacterial small subunit ribosomal RNA", at positions 89 to 334 of the family's 1533-position model. The record is from RNAcentral.
UGGCGAGUGGCGGACGGGUGAGUAAUACAUAGGAAUCUGCCUUAUAGAUUGGGAUAACUACUCGAAAGAGUGGCUAAUACCGGAUGUGGACUACGGUUUAAAGCAGGGGAUCUUCGGACCUUGCGCUAUAAGAUGAGCCUAUGCAAGAUUAGCUAGUUGGUGAGGUAAAGGCUCACCAAGGCGACGAUCUUUAGCUGGUCUGAGAGGAUGAUCAGCCACACUGGGACUGAGACACGGCCCAG